Molecule: RNA transcript, 2114 nt
Organism: Setaria italica (foxtail millet)
Lineage: Eukaryota; Viridiplantae; Streptophyta; Magnoliopsida; Poales; Poaceae
Exons: 5
Source: RefSeq, a predicted model, not a curated record
GCAUGAAUUAUGUACAGCGGCACCUUUCGGAUGGAGGACCACGGGCGCCCGUUCGGCGGCCGACGAGCAUGGUGCUGCGGAGAAGGUAUUGCGGCUGAAGGAGCACCGUGACCUGACGGUUGAUUCGGGUCCGCGCCGGCGAGGUCGCCGACCUCCAGGCUUAUUUCCCACGGACACCGCGUCGCUUGCCGGGUCCUGUUGGUUUUCCCCUUCCGCUUCCUGCCGCCUGCACUUCCUCUGUCGCUGGGCAUCGUGGCUGCACUUCCCUAAUCCGAUUUGAUUCUGACGUAGGUUUGCACCGUGGAAGCGCUGGUGGCCUGCUGGCUUCACCGUGGAUCCUCCGCACCACCAUUGCCUCCCAGCCUGCAGACGUGUCCUAAGGUUGGAUCUGAGUAUCUGACAUCAGAGAUACGAAUACGAUGCAAGUGCUCUGAUAGCUCAACUGCAUGCUCGAUUGUUUGACUGACAACUGUAGCCAUUUGGUUGUUCUGAUGCUCUAAUAGGUGGAACAAGAUGCCAAGUUUGAUUCCUGAGCAGCGCCAUGUAUUCCUCCUCCAUGGCUUUCUUCCACUUGGAAUCACCGAGAGCUUCUUCAAGUGUUUGAGGUUCUCCUGUAGCACAAAAAUAGCCAUACCUGACCGUGCCAUCAGUGAACUUCUAGGCCUGACAAUCCCACUUUAUAAACGAGUCAUGGGACGAGAUAGCUCAAUCGGUGGAGGAGAGGAUUCAAUUUGUUGAACUGUUUCAGAUUCAGCCGCAGCAGAUCAUGAAGACGCCGCAGAAAAUCCGCCUCCUGCUGGUGGUGUCCGCUCCGGUGAUAGCACCUGGUCAGGUGGGACACCUAGCGCUUCCAGGUUGGGCGCAGGCGGCACAGCUCCCUGCGGCCGGGGCGACACGGUCGGACUAGAUUCGCCCCCGCCACGCGUCGAGUCUUGAUAUGGCCUGGUCCGACCCCAAGGCAAAUCAGCGCUGGAUCGCGCGCCGUCGGCUGCAUGAGGAUCCGCAUUGGAUAUGGUGCCAGGAUUUUCUACAGCUCCGUUUGUGGCAUUUCCUUCACCGUUUUCAUCCAAAUUUCUUCCUGUAUCUUCCUGCUCAACACUAGGCAAGUCAUUGGUGAUAAUCGGGUUAGCACAAGUUACAUCCCCUAGUAAAUGUGGUGGCAAUAGAAGGAUUUCUUUGCGGAGAAGGGCUCGCACAUUUUGAUGGAGAUUAUGAACGGAAAAAUAUUUUCGUCGAACACCACAUCCCUUGAGAUGUAAACACGGCCGGAUGAGACAUCAAGACACUUGAAUCCCUUGUGAAGAGAGCUAUAGCCGAGAAAGACACAACGGAUGGAUCGAAAGGAAAGCUUUCGAGUAUUAUAUGCUCGUAGAUUUGGCCAACAAACACAACCAAAGGUCACCGGUUAUAUGGUCAGAUGCUCCGCUGUCCAUGUACCAGGUUGUGUCCACCCCAUAGCUUGUUGCAGCUCCAGCAAUCUUGGGGUGUUGUUGUUCUUCUCCAUUCUCAUCAUACAUGUAACAGCAGGUCACCGGUUAUAUGGUCAGAUGCUCCGCUGUCCAUGUACCAGGUUGUGUCCACCCCAUAGCUUGUUGCAGCUCCAGCAAUCUUGGGGUGUUGUUGUUCUUCUCCAUUCUCAUCAUACAUGUAACAGCAGGUAGGAGCUUCAUGGCCGACCUUUUUACAGAUCUGGCAUUGUGGCUUGCUGUUCUUGCCUCCUUGCUUAGGCGUGCUGUUGCUGUUGCGAUUGAAGUUGGAAUUGAAGUUGGGACCGCGGCUGUUUCCACGGCCACGGUUUCCUCCUUCUCCUCGACCGUGGUAGCCUCCACGCCCUCUUGAUGCUGAAUUGGCUAAAGAUUGGUACUGGCCAUGACUCUGUCCUUCAUGAAGCAUCUCAAGACAAGUAUCAUAAGCCAUCAACUGAGCAUAAAGAUCGCUCAUGGAGAUGGUAUCAUACCGACCCAUAACAGAAGACACGACAGGAUUGUAAUCUUGAUCUAAACCGGUUAGGAUAUACGAAAUCAUCUCAUCAUCAUCAAUAAUUUUAUCGGUAGUGGCGAGUUCAUCCCUUAAACCUUUCAUAUUGGUGAAGAACACUGUCAUUGUCAUGCUUC